Molecule: small RNA, 190 nt
Filed under: Paenibacillus sp.
Lineage: Bacteria; Bacillati; Bacillota; Bacilli; Caryophanales; Paenibacillaceae
Also listed under: 1 other name
Description: c-di-AMP sequence
Rfam family: c-di-AMP riboswitch aptamer (ydaO/yuaA leader)
About the family: This family represents a conserved RNA structure found upstream of the ydaO and yuaA genes in Bacillus subtilis and related genes in other bacteria. The ydaO/yuaA element is thought to act as a genetic "off" switch for the ydaO and yuaA genes in its native state.
Source: RNAcentral
UUGUUUCAAACGCUGAGUUCUGCACUGCCGCAGAAACGGGGGAACCAUCGACGGCUCUCUGUCGUUGUCCAAUGGACGAUGGCAGGGAGCGUCACGGGGUGAAUCGCAAGGGCACGAUAAGUGCCAAGCGUAGGGCGUCUCUCGCGCCCGAAUCCGACAGCUAACCUCGCAAGCGUCAACGGGAGAGGCC